UAACCCAUCUCCAAGGCAACCCCGAGAAACACUUACUUCUGGAGAAGGAGGUGGAGAGAGGGAUUUGGGCGAGAGGGAGCGCUGCAGAAAAGAGUCAAGAGAGAGAGAGAGAGAGAGAACUUCACUUGAUGCCGCUCACAUCUGAGUCAUCUAUUACGUCUAAAAGGCUUUCUUACAGAAGAUGAAGCAAGCUUGUUUUCUGCCUCUCCGGACAGGAGGACCUGAACCGAUAGAUUCAGAUUCCAGGAAAGGAGAUUCUGGCUAAACCAUCAGAAGAACUUUCUGACGCAGCAGCUGCAGGAAAGAAAGUCAAUGCCACUCAAUGAGGCCAAACGGAAAUUUGCAUUGGCCAUGCAGGCAGCGUAUUGAAGAGUCGUUUCCAGGAAGGAUUUCCUUCCAGCAGGCACAGUAAACUCUGGCUUUGUCACAAAUAUACAUUUGUAUUCCCUCCUGCCAAUCAGAGGGGUUGCUGUGUGUCCUCAAAGCGCUGUGUUCUAGGAAGAGCUGCUGACUGUUCCAGCCCCCUUGCAAAUGUGCCACCAAAGGGGACUGGAGACUGACUGAUAAGAUUCUUGGCUAUCCAGUCGGGGACAGAAACAGAAAACCUUUCUUAGAACCGGCUACACAUCACAAAGCCGCGAGCGAGCCGGCUGCCAAGUUUCACUGCCUGGAUGUUAAAAAGCAGGGUGGGGAGGGGCACACUGGAAAGCCAGUCUGCGAGAUGGGGCAGUCUUUUUAAAAUGUUUCAAGUGAAUACCUCGUCUGGCCUACCUAUAUUACAAUAUAAUCCUACAAAAAGAA
Podarcis raffonei (Aeolian wall lizard) is the source of this 801-nucleotide long non-coding RNA. RefSeq lists it as uncharacterized. NCBI's taxonomy places the organism in Eukaryota, Metazoa, Chordata, Lepidosauria, Squamata, Lacertidae. The transcript is spliced from 2 exons. The record is from RefSeq and is a predicted model, not a curated record.